CUAGAGCUGCAGGCCCAAGAGGUGCUCAGCAUUCCUUCUCCAGCUGGGGAGUUUUAUCUGCACACACUCCAACCUUGCAGACCACGGGUUAUUGGGAGUUCCUCAGCGCUGGCUAGGGUGUCUCCUAGGAGCACAGCUUCAGAUGCCAGCCUUGAGUUAAAACUUAUGACAUUCCGAAAUGGCAGUAAGCAGGUUCUGCCUUGACUUUAGAAGAGAGCCUUCUUACUUUGGCUACUUGAUGUUGUCCAUGUUUUUCUAGGAUGGGUGACCUGGAGUAAGACAGGCAAUGACAACGGCCUUCUCCAGCAGCUGGCCACUGGAGUGCUGGCUGGAGGCCCAGAGCAGGGUGCAGCUGCACAGAGCAGGCUCCCAGGGCUGCCAGCUGCACUGAGGCAAGAGGCGCCUUUCUUCCGGGGACUGACCUCAGAAGACAAGUCCAGGUACUUACUAUAUGCCAGCUGGAGCCUCACCACAAGCAAGACCAGGUAAGUAUGCACUCACAGGAAAGGAAAAAGCCUGGCCAAGCCACUGGGCCAGGAGGUGGCAGAGUGGAGGGGUGAGGCCAGCCCCCAGCUAAGAAGCCAUUUGCCGGAGCAGGAUCUCUAAGUCUUCUAGUGGCUCUCCAGGCUCUUCAGAGGAAGUGGCAGGCUACAUUUCCUGUACACUUUAAACACACAUAGACCAACACGUCCAGAAUCUGGCUGAAGCCAGUCUGAAGCUGAAAAUGUUCCCAUCCAAAGGACAGGCUCCUACAGACGGCACAACAUGGGCGAUGCUGCCACCCUCUGGCUAGGAAAGCAACCAAGGAGCUGACCUACUGCAGUUCCGGGUUCUUCUCUGUAGAGUGUCCUGCCACCCUCGGUCACGGGAGGAACUGCCAUGACAUCAAGAGUGCAUUUCAAACUACGGCGGACAUCAAAAUCCAUGCUGUUGCUGUUUGCACAGUGUUAGGGAACAAGGAUGGGCCUAGUGUGUUCUACCAUGAGUGCUCUACCAUAACUCAAUGAGUCACCUCUGGGGCCAAAUGAAGCUGGAGGUACACAUAGGAAUGGCCCACUUUCAAGGCCACAGCUUAAUCUCAGCUCUGCAAUCCAGACAAGUCUACUCAGGGCACUCUGAGCAACCCCUGCUGUGCCACAAGCUCUCACUGCGGAUGCAUGGCCAUGCACCAUGGACCCCUCCACCCCUGCCUUAGGCACCUCCUCCUCUGCUACAGCUGCUGACCACCUGUCCUAUGGUACAGUGAACAUUCUCCAAGGAAGCUGGGGAAGUGGGGUUCCUCAAUUUCUCUCUUCUUUCAGAAAUCAGUCUAACUACAGCUGUCCUGGGUUCCCACAUGUGGAAGGGCAACCGAGGAGCACUCGGGUGUGACCACAAGUCCAGUUUGAGUGCAUCUGUUUUCAAGUCCCUUUUGUUUCCUGAGUCAACUGCUUCCUUGAAAAUCAGUUCUGGUUGAGUCUGGUUCAGCAUCGUGCUUGGUUUUGGUUAUUGCUUACAAUGUGUUUAUGUAGGGAUUUCAGAUGGCAUCCUUUAUAAAUUUUAAAACAGCACAACAG
This is a long non-coding RNA of Onychomys torridus (southern grasshopper mouse), 1556 nucleotides long. RefSeq lists it as uncharacterized. The record is from RefSeq and is a predicted model, not a curated record. Lineage: Eukaryota; Metazoa; Chordata; Mammalia; Rodentia; Cricetidae. The transcript has 3 exons.